RNAcentral lists this ribosomal RNA (319 nucleotides) under uncultured eukaryote. Its description in RNAcentral is "partial 18S ribosomal RNA". It matches the Rfam family "Eukaryotic small subunit ribosomal RNA", at positions 1470 to 1796 of the family's 1831-position model. The record is from RNAcentral.
CCCUUAGAUGUUCUGGGCAGCACGCGCGCUACAAUGGUCUUCGCAAACGGAUGCAUUCUCGAAGGAGAAUGCCAAUCUUGGAAUCUAUGCCUUGGUCGGGACAGUUGCUUGCAAUUUUUCGACUCGAACCAGGAAUUCCUUGUAAUCGUGAUUCAUCACAUCACGAUGAAUACGUCCCUGCCCUUUGUACACACCGCCCGUCGCUCCUACCGAUCGAAGAGUUAGGUGAAUUGUUUUGAUCGAUAAGAUUUGACUAUGGUCAACUCUCGUUGUGAAGUUCUGUGAAUCUGACUGUUUAGAGGAAGGAAAAGUCGUAACA